UACGUAGGGGGCAAGCGUUGUCCGGAAUUAUUGGGCGUAAAGAGCGUGUAGGCGGUCCGGUAAGUCAGCUGUGAAAGUCAAGGGCUCAACCCUUGAAUGCCGGUUGAUACUGUCGGGCUAGAGUCCGGAAGAGGCGAGUGGAAUUCCCGGUGUAGCGGUGAAAUGCGCAGAUAUCGGGAGGAACACCAAUGGCGAAGGCAGCUCGCUGGGACGGUACUGACGCUGAGGCGCGAAAGCUAGGGGAGCGAACGGG
RNAcentral lists this ribosomal RNA (253 nucleotides) under uncultured bacterium. RNAcentral's name for it is "partial 16S ribosomal RNA". It matches the Rfam family "Bacterial small subunit ribosomal RNA", at positions 524 to 776 of the family's 1533-position model. The record is from RNAcentral.